Molecule: ribosomal RNA, 253 nt
Filed under: uncultured bacterium
Lineage: Bacteria
Description: partial 16S ribosomal RNA
Rfam family: Bacterial small subunit ribosomal RNA
Source: RNAcentral
UACGUAGGGUGCGAGCGUUGUCCGGAAUUAUUGGGCGUAAAGGGCUCGUAGGCGGUUUGUCGCGUCGGGAGUGAAAACCCAGGGCUUAACCCUGGGCUGGCUUCCGAUACGGGCAGACUAGAGGUAUGCAGGGGAGAACGGAAUUCCUGGUGUAGCGGUGAAAUGCGCAGAUAUCAGGAAGAACACCCGUGGCGAAGGCGGCUCUCUGGGACGGUACUGACGCUGAGACGCGAAAGCGUAGGGAGCGAACAGG